This 465-nucleotide ribosomal RNA is filed under the name uncultured bacterium. RNAcentral's name for it is "partial 16S ribosomal RNA". It matches the Rfam family "Bacterial small subunit ribosomal RNA", at positions 28 to 507 of the family's 1533-position model. The record is from RNAcentral.
GAUGGACGCUGGCGGCGUGCUUAACACAUGCAAGUCGAACGGAAAGGCUCCUGCUUGCAGGGGUACUCGAGUGGCGAACGGGUGAGUAACACGUGGGUGAUCUGCCCUGCACUUCGGGAUAAGCCUGGGAAACUGGGUCUAAUACCGGAUAGGACGAUGGUUUGGAUGCCAUUGUGGAAAGUUUUUCGGUGUGGGAUGAGCUCGCGGCCUAUCAGCUUGUUGGUGGGGUAAUGGCCUACCAAGGCGUCGACGGGUAGCCGGCCUGAGAGGGUGUACGGCCACAUUGGGACUGAGAUACGGCCCAGACUCCUACGGGAGGCAGCAGUGGGGAAUAUUGCACAAUGGGCGCAAGCCUGAUGCAGCGACGCCGCGUGGGGGAUGACGGCCUUCGGGUUGUAAACUCCUUUCGCUAGGGACGAAGCGCAAGUGACGGUACCUGGAGAAGAAGCACCGGCUAACCACGUG